This 451-nucleotide ribosomal RNA is filed under the name uncultured bacterium. RNAcentral describes it as "SSU rRNA". It matches the Rfam family "Bacterial small subunit ribosomal RNA", at positions 26 to 518 of the family's 1533-position model. The record is from RNAcentral.
AGAGCGAACGCUGGCGGCAGGCUUAACACAUGCAAGUCGAGCGGGCGUAGCAAUACGUCAGCGGCAGACGGGUGAGUAACGCGUGGGAACGUACCUUUUGGUUCGGAACAACCCAGGGAAACUUGGGCUAAAUACCGGAUAAGCCCUUACGGGGAAAGAUUUAUCGCCGAAAGAUCGGCCCGCGUCUGAUUAGCUAGUUGGUGAGGUAAUGGCUCACCAAGGCGACGAUCAGUAGCUGGUCUGAGAGGAUGAUCAGCCACAUUGGGACUGAGACACGGCCCAAACUCCUACGGGAGGCAGCAGUGGGGAAUAUUGGACAAUGGGCGCAAGCCUGAUCCAGCCAUGCCGCGUGAGUGAUGAAGGCCCUAGGGUUGUAAAGCUUCUUUUGUGCGGGAAGAUAAUGACGGUACCGCAAGAAUAAGCCCCGGCUAACCUUCGCGCCAGCAGCCGC